ACAGUGGACGCGAGCAUCUUUGUAGAUUUUGACAAGCUACUAAGUGCGGUCGGUGGAUGCCUUGGCACCAAGAGCCGAUGAAGGACGUUGUAACCUGCGAUAAGCCUCGGGGAGCUGGUAAACGAGCUGUGAUCCGGGGAUGUCCGAAUAGGGAAACCUUGAAGUUACCGGAGUCAUGUCCGGCGACCUCUGCCUGAAUGUAUAGGGCAGUUGGAGGGAACGCGGGGAAGUGAAACAUCUCAGUACCCGUAGGAAGAGAAAACAAUAGUGAUUCCGUGAGUAGUGGCGAGCGAAAGCGGAAGAGGCCAAACCUUUACUGUGUGAUAGCCGGCAGGUGUUGCAGUGGGGGUGUUGUGGGGUUGUUCUUGGUUGUGCUGCCGUGCGACCGGGGAGUAAGAAAUGAUCAGUGAAGUCGAAGCGUCUGGGAAGGCGUGGCGUAGAAGGUGAGACUCCUGUAGACGUAUGCUGGUCACUCCCUUGAGUGAUUCCCAAGUAGCGCGGAACCCCUGAAAUUCCGCGUGAAUCUGGCGGGACCAUCCGCUAAGCCUAAAUACUCCUUGGUGACCGAUAGCGGACAAGUACCGUGAGGGAAAGGUGAAAAGUACCCCGGGAGGGGAGUGAAAUAGUACCUGAAACCGGCCGCAUACAAUCCGUCGGAGCUUUGCCCUUUGGGGUGGGGUGACGGCGUGCCUUUUGAAGAAUGAGCCUGCGAGUUAGUGGUACGUGGCGAGGUUAACCCGUGUGGGGUAGCCGUAGCGAAAGCGAGUCCUAAUAGGGCGUUUCAGUCGCGUGCUCUAGACCCGAAGCGGAGUGAUCUAUCCAUGGCCAGGGUGAAGCGACGGUAAGACGUCGUGGAGGCCCGAACUCACUUGGGUUGAAAACCGAGGAGAUGAGCUGUGGAUAGGGGUGAAAGGCCAAUCAAACUCCGUGAUAGCUGGUUCUCCCCGAAAUGCAUUUAGGUGCAGCGUCGUAUGUUUCUUACCGGAGGUAGAGCACUGAAUGGUCUAGGGGGCCCACAAGCUUACCGAAAUCAGUCAAACUCCGAAUGCCGGUAAGUGAGAGUGCGGCAGUGAGACUGUGGGGGAUAAGCUUCAUAGUCGAGAGGGAAACAGCCCAGAUCAUCAGCUAAGGCCCCUAAGCGAUAACUAAGUGGAAAAGGAUGUGGAGUUGCGGUGACAACCAGGAGGUUGGCUUGGAAGCAGCCACCCUUGAAAGAGUGCGUAAUAGCUCACUGGUCAAGUGAUUCUGCGCCGACAAUUUAGCGGGGCUCAAGUUAUCCGCCGAAGCUAUGGCAUUCACAUGUUUAGGCCGUGAGGCUGUGUGGAUGGGUAGGGGAGCGUCGUGUGCGCGGUGAAGCGGCGGGGUGACCCGGCCGUGGAGAGCACACGAGUGAGAAUGCAGGCAUGAGUAGCGAAUGACGGGUGAGAAACCCGUCCGCCGAAUAUCCAAGGGUUCCAGGGUCAAGCUAAUCUGCCCUGGGUGAGUCGGGACCUAAGGCGAGGCCGACAGGCGUAGUCGAUGGACAACGGGUUGAUAUUCCCGUACCGGCGAAAUAUCGUCCGUGUUGAGGCGAGUGAUGCUAAGCGCGUGAGGCCGGCCGUCGGACCUUCGGGUCUGUGGUUGGUUGAGUGCGUGACCCGAUCUUGUAGUAGGCAAGCUGCGGAGGGACGCAGGAAGGUAGCUCUUCCCGGGUUUGGAUAUCCCCGGGCUAAGUGUGUAGGGCGAGGUGUAGGCAAAUCCGCACCUCAUGUGUCUGAGACAUGAUGGGUCGGCCGCAUGUGUGUGGUCGUAAGAGUGAUCCUAUGCUGCCUAGAAAAGCUUCGUGAGCGAGAUAUGAGCCGCCCGUACCCCAAACCGACACAGGUGGAUAGGUAGAGAAUACCAAGGCGAUCGAGAGAAUCGUGGUGAAGGAACUCGGCAAAAUACCCCCGUAACUUCGGGAUAAGGGGGACCCGAUGCGUAGUAGAACUUGCUUCGAAAGCGUUGAGGGUCGCAGAGACCAGGCCCAAGCGACUGUUUACUAAAAACACAGGUCCGUGCUAAGUCGUAAGACGAUGUAUACGGACUGACUCCUGCCCGGUGCUGGAAGGUUAAGGGGAAGGGUUAGCCUCACGGCGAAGCCUUGAACUUAAGCCCCAGUAAACGGCGGUGGUAACUAUAACCAUCCUAAGGUAGCGAAAUUCCUUGUCGGGUAAGUUCCGACCUGCACGAAUGGAGUAACGAUUUGGGCGCUGUCUCCACCACGAACUCGGCGAAAUUGCAGUACGAGUAAAGAUGCUCGUUACGCGCAGCAGGACGGAAAGACCCCGGGACCUUUACUAUAGUUUGGUAUUGGUGAUCGGUGUGACUUGUGUAGGAUAGGUGGGAGACUGUGAAGCCCGGACGCCAGUUCGGGUGGAGUCAUCGUUGAAAUACCACUCUGGUCACUCUGGUUAUCUAACUUUGGACCGUUAUCCGGUUCAGGGACAGUGCCUGAUGGGUAGUUUGACUGGGGCGGUCGCCUCCUAAAAGGUAACGGAGGCGCCCAAAGGUUCCCUCAGCCUGGUUGGCAAUCAGGUUUCGAGUGUAAGUGCACAAGGGAGCUUGACUGCGAGAGAGACAUCUCGAGCAGGGACGAAAGUCGGGACUAGUGAUCUUCUGGUGGCACAUGGAAGCGCCAGGACUCAACGGAUAAAAGGUACCCCGGGGAUAACAGGCUGAUCUUGCCCGAGCGUCCAUAGCGACGGCAUGGUUUGGCACCUCGAUGUCGGCUCGUCGCAUCCUGGGGCUGGAGUCGGUCCCAAGGGUUGGGCUGUUCGCCCAUUAAAGCGGCACGCGAGCUGGGUUUAGAACGUCGUGAGACAGUUCGGUCCCUAUCCGCUGCGCGCGUAGGAGUCUUGAGAAGAGCUGUCCUUAGUACGAGAGGACCGGGACGGACUAACCUCUGGUGUGCCAGUUGUUCCACCAGGAGCACGGCUGGUUGGCUACGUUGGGAAGUGAUAACCGCUGAAAGCAUCUAAGCGGGAAGCACGCUUCAAGAUGAGGGCUCCCACAGAUUAAUCUGGUAAGGCCCCCUAUAGACCAUGGGGUGAUAGGUCGGAUGUGGAAGUGCAGUAAUGCAUGGAGCUGACCGAUACUAAUAGGCCGAGGGCUUGUCUU
RNAcentral lists this ribosomal RNA (3138 nucleotides) under Tessaracoccus sp. T2.5-30. RNAcentral's name for it is "bacterial LSU rRNA". It matches the Rfam family "Bacterial large subunit ribosomal RNA". The record is from RNAcentral. Lineage: Bacteria; Bacillati; Actinomycetota; Actinomycetes; Propionibacteriales; Propionibacteriaceae.